RNAcentral lists this ribosomal RNA (442 nucleotides) under uncultured bacterium. Its description in RNAcentral is "partial 16S ribosomal RNA". It matches the Rfam family "Bacterial small subunit ribosomal RNA", at positions 338 to 795 of the family's 1533-position model. The record is from RNAcentral.
CCUACGGGAGGCAGCAGUAGGGAAUCUUUCACAAUGGGCGAAAGCCUGAUGGAGCAACGCCGCGUGCAGGAUGAAGGCCUUCGGGUUGUAAACUGCUUUUAUAAGCGAGAAAUAUGAUGGUAACUUAUGAAUAAGGAUCGGCUAACUACGUGCCAGCAGCCGCGGUCAUACGUAGGAUCCGAGCAUUAUCCGGAGUGACUGGGUGUAAAGAGUUGCGUAGGUGGCAUAAUAAGUAGCUAGUGAAAUCUGGUGGUUCAACCAUUCAGACUAUUAGCUAAACUGUUAAGCUCGAGACCGGUAGGGGUAAGUGGAAUUUCUAGUGUAGGAGUGAAAUCCGUAGAUAUUAGAAAGAACACCGAUAGCGUAGGCAGGUUACUGGGACGGUUCUGACACUAAGGCACGAAAGCGUAGGGAGCAAACGGGAUUAGAUACCCUUGUAGUC